GACGAACGCUGGCGGCGUGCCUAACACAUGCAAGUCGAACGCGAAAGGGGGCUUGCCCCCAAGUAAAGUGGCGCACGGGUGAGUAACGCGUGGGUAACCAACCCCUAGGUGGGGGAUAACGGCCCGAAAGGGACGCUAAUCCCGCAUAAGACCACGAUAGCGCAGGCUAUUGGGGCCAAAGGAGUGAUUCGCCUAGGGACGGGCCCGCGUCCCAUCAGCUAGUUGGUAGGGUAACGGCCUACCAAGGCAGUGACGGGUAGCUGGUCUGAGAGGAUGAUCAGCCACACUGGGACUGGAACACGGCCCAGACUCCUACGGGAGGCAGCAGUGAGGAAUUUUGGACAAUGGGCGAAAGCCUGAUCCAGCAACGCCGCGUGAGUGAUGAAGGCCCUCGGGUUGUAAAGCUCUUUCAGGGGGGAUGGAGAAAGGACGGUACCCCCACAAGAAGCACCGGCUAACUCCGUG
RNAcentral lists this ribosomal RNA (465 nucleotides) under uncultured bacterium. RNAcentral describes it as "bacterial SSU rRNA". It matches the Rfam family "Bacterial small subunit ribosomal RNA", at positions 28 to 507 of the family's 1533-position model. The record is from RNAcentral.